RNAcentral lists this transfer RNA (73 nucleotides) under Myotis davidii. It matches the Rfam family "tRNA". Rfam says of the family: Transfer RNA (tRNA) molecules are approximately 80 nucleotides in length. The record is from Rfam by way of RNAcentral. Lineage: Eukaryota; Metazoa; Chordata; Mammalia; Chiroptera; Vespertilionidae.
GCCAGUUUGGCUCAGUGGAUAGGGCAUUGGCCUGUGGACUCAAGGGUCCCAGGUUCUAUUCCUGAUGAGGGCA